This 250-nucleotide ribosomal RNA is filed under the name uncultured bacterium. Its description in RNAcentral is "partial 16S ribosomal RNA". It matches the Rfam family "Bacterial small subunit ribosomal RNA", at positions 524 to 773 of the family's 1533-position model. The record is from RNAcentral.
GACAGAGGGUGCUAGCGUUGUUCGGAAUUACUGGGCGUAAAGGGCGUGUAGGCGGCAAAGUAUGUCCGGUGUGAAAUCCCUCGGCUUAACUGGGGAAGUGCAUCGGAAACUACUUAGCUAGAGUGCAGGAGAGGGUGGCGGAAUUCCCAGAGUAGAGGUGAAAUUCGUAGAUACUGGGAGGAACACCUGAGGCGAAGGCGGCCACCUGGCCUGUGACUGACGCUGAUACGCAAAAGCGUGGGGAGCAAAC